RNAcentral lists this microRNA precursor (204 nucleotides) under Oryza barthii. Its description in RNAcentral is "MIR812 microRNA precursor family". It matches the Rfam family "MIR812 microRNA precursor family". Lineage: Eukaryota; Viridiplantae; Streptophyta; Magnoliopsida; Poales; Poaceae. The record is from Rfam by way of RNAcentral.
AAAAAGACAAACCUGGUUUCCGUGUUCAAUGUUUGACCGUCCGUCUUAUUUGAAAAAAUUAUAAAAAAAAUUAAAAAAACAAGUCACGCACAAAGUAUUAAUCAUGUUUUAUCAUUUAACAACAAUAAAAUUAUGAAUUAUAAAAAAAAUUUAUAUAAAACGGACAGUCAAAGUUAGACACGGAAACCUAAGGUUUGCCUUUUU